This 408-nucleotide ribosomal RNA is filed under the name uncultured bacterium. Its description in RNAcentral is "partial 16S ribosomal RNA". It matches the Rfam family "Bacterial small subunit ribosomal RNA", at positions 28 to 526 of the family's 1533-position model. The record is from RNAcentral.
GACGAACGCUGGCGGCGUGCUUAACACAUGCAAGUCGAACGAAGUGGCGCACGGGUGAGUAACGCGUAAUCAACCUGCCCUUCAGAGGGGGACAACAGUUGGAAACGACUGCUAAUACCGCAUACUGAAGGAGGGGAUUGCGUCUGAUUAGCUAGUUGGAGGGGUAACGGCCCACCAAGGCGAUGAUCAGUAGCCGGGCUGAGGGGAUGAACGGCCACAAUGGGACUGGGAAACGGCCCAGACUCCGUCGGGAGGCAGCAAGGGGGAAUUUUCCGCAAUGGGGGAAAGUCUGACUGAGCAACGCCGCGUGAGAGAUGACGGCCUUCGGGUUGUAAAGCUCUGUUAAUCGGGACGCGGUACCGGAAUAGAAAGCCACGGCUAACUACGUGCCAGCAGCCGCGGUAAUAC